GUCCACUCUCCUCAAGGCUAGCAUCAGAACCAGUAGAGAGGAGGUCCACUCUCCUCAAGGCUAGCAUCAGAACCAGUAGAGAGGAGGUCCACUCUCCUCAAGGCUAGCAUAAGAACCAGUAGAGAGUAGGUCCACUCUCCUCAAGACUAGCAUGAGAACCAGUAGAGAGUAGGACCACUCUCCUCAAGGCUAGCAUCAGAACCAGUAGAGAGUAGGUCCACUCUCCUCAAGGCUAACAUCAGAACCAGUAGAGAGUAGGACCACUCUCCUCAAGGCUAGCAUCAGAACCAGUAGAGAGUAGGACCACUCUCCUCAAGGCUAGCAUCAGAACCAGUAGAGAGUAGGUCCACUCUCCUCAAGGCUAGCAUCAGAACCAGUAGAGAGUAGGUCCACUCUCCUCAAGGCUAGCAUCAGAACCAGUAGAGAGUAGGUCCACUCUCCUCAAGGCUAGCAUCAGAACCAGUAGAGAGUAGGUCCACUCUCCUCAAGGCUAACAUCAGAACCAGUAGAGAGUAGGACCACUCUCCUCAAGACUAGCAUCAGAACCAGUAGAGAGUAGGUCCACUCUCCUCAAGGC
This 577-nucleotide long non-coding RNA is filed under the name Salmo salar (Atlantic salmon). RNAcentral describes it as "lncRNA (ENSSSAG00000087051.1)". The record is from RNAcentral. Lineage: Eukaryota; Metazoa; Chordata; Actinopteri; Salmoniformes; Salmonidae.